UGGAGGGCAUCUCGUAAAUCGGAACAUAGAAUAGUUUCCUAUGGAUAACCACAGAUUGAACAAAAGAUACAGUAUUAGAUGCUUCUCAGCGGCAAAUCUCAUGGAGGAUUGAGGAUUUGAUGGUUGCAACGCUACUCUGUCAUUGUAAGAAGUUCCUUUAAUACUGAUGUCAUGGAUAUAGAUUUUCUUUCGGAGCUAGCAGUAGUGAGUUUCGGAACAAGCUAGAACCAUGUAUGUACAGGUCCCGUAAUGUAAACUAAUAAUAAUAUAUAGUAGUUAUUUUGCUUUUUUUAGGGAUUGUUGUAAUCAAAUUAUGGGAUUUGUUUUCUGAUCAUUAGUUGAUUUUGUAUGUAAAUGCUUCUGAAGUUGAAUGUUAUGUUUUUGUCUGGUGUAUCAAAUAAGUAGGUGACAAUA
Molecule: long non-coding RNA, 414 nt
Organism: Mercurialis annua (annual mercury)
Lineage: Eukaryota; Viridiplantae; Streptophyta; Magnoliopsida; Malpighiales; Euphorbiaceae
Exons: 2
Source: RefSeq, a predicted model, not a curated record